This 253-nucleotide ribosomal RNA is filed under the name uncultured bacterium. Its description in RNAcentral is "partial 16S ribosomal RNA". It matches the Rfam family "Bacterial small subunit ribosomal RNA", at positions 524 to 776 of the family's 1533-position model. The record is from RNAcentral.
UACGAGGGGGGCAAGCGUUGUCCGGAAUUAUUGGGCGUAAAGAGCUCGUAGGUGGCUUGUUGCGUCUGCCGUGAGAGCCCGUGGCUUAACUACGGGUCUGCGGUGGAUACGGGCAGGCUAGAGGCUGGUAGGGGCAAGCGGAAUUCCUGGUGUAGCGGUGAAAUGCGCAGAUAUCAGGAGGAACACCGGUGGCGAAGGCGGCUUGCUGGGCCAGUUCUGACGCUGAGGAGCGAAAGCGUGGGGAGCGAACAGG